This 460-nucleotide ribosomal RNA is filed under the name uncultured bacterium. RNAcentral's name for it is "partial 16S ribosomal RNA". It matches the Rfam family "Bacterial small subunit ribosomal RNA", at positions 338 to 795 of the family's 1533-position model. The record is from RNAcentral.
CCUACGGGGGGCAGCAGUGAGGACUAUUGGUCAAUGGCCGGAAGGCUGAACCAGCCAUGCCGCGUGAAGGUCAGUGCCCUAUGGGCGUUAAACUUCUUUUGUGCGGGAGCAAUAAUGGUCACGUGUGGCCAGACGAGAGUACCGUACGAAUAAGCAUCGGCUAACUCCGUGCCAGCAGCCGCGGUAAUACGGGGGAUGCAAGCGUUAUCCGGAUUUAUUGGGUUUAAAGGGUGCGUAGGCUGUGAGGUAAGUCAGCGGUGAAAUGCCCCCGCUCAACGGGGUGAAGUGCCAUUGAUACUGCCUUGCUGGAAUGCGGAUGCCGUGGGAGGAAUGUGUGGUGUAGCGGUGGAAUGCAUAGAUAUCACACAGAACACCGAUUGCGAAGGCAUCUCACGAAUCCGCGAUUGACGCUGAUGCACGAAAGCGUGGGUAUCAAACAGGAUUAGAUACCCGAGUAGUC